Small nuclear RNA from Echinops telfairi (small Madagascar hedgehog), 162 nucleotides. Its record names the gene U1. It matches the Rfam family "U1 spliceosomal RNA". From Rfam's summary of the family: U1 is a small nuclear RNA (snRNA) component of the spliceosome (involved in pre-mRNA splicing). Its 5' end forms complementary base pairs with the 5' splice junction, thus defining the 5' donor site of an intron. NCBI's taxonomy places the organism in Eukaryota, Metazoa, Chordata, Mammalia, Afrosoricida, Tenrecidae. The record is from Ensembl.
AUACUUACCUGGCAGAGGAGAUACCAAGAUCACGAAGGUGGUUUUCCCAGGGCGAGGCUUGUUCAUUGCACUCCAGAUGUGUUGACCCCUGCGGUUUCCCCAAAUGUGGGAGGCUCCACUGCAUAGUUUGUAGUGGUGGGGCACUGCUCCCGCUCUCCCCUG